CAGGGAUUGCCCUAGUAACGGCGAGUGAAGCGGCAACAGCUCAAAUUUGAAAUCUGGCCCUUGGGUCCGAAUUGUAAUUUGUAGAGGAUGAUUUUGGUGCGGUACCUUCCGAGUUCCUUGGAACAGGACGCCUUAGAGGGUGAGAGCCCCGUACGGUUGGAUACCUAGCCUCUGUAAAUCUCCUUCGACGAGUCGAGUAGUUUGGGAAUGCUGCUCUAAAUGGGAGGUAAAUUUCUUCUAAAGCUAAAUACUGGCCAGAGACCGAUAGCGCACAAGUAGAGUGAUCGAAAGAUGAAAAGCACUUUGAAAAGAGGGUUAAAUAGCACGUGAAAUUGUUGAAAGGGAAGGAUUUAUGACCAGACUUUUUCUGGGCAGAUCAUCCGGUGUUCUCACCGGUGCACUUUGCCCAGUUUAGGCCAGCAUCGAUUUCCGGAGGGGGAUAAAAGCUUUAGGAAUGUGGCUCCCUCGGGAGUGUUAUAGCCUAUUGUAUAAUACCUUUCUGGGGAUCGAGGUACGCGCUUCUGCAAGGAUGCUGGCGUAAUGGUUAUCAAUCACCCGUCUUGAAACACGGACCAAGGAGUCGAACAUUUGUGCGAGUGUUUGGGUGUUAAACCCUCACGCGUAAUGAAAGUGAACGGAGGUAAGAGCCCUUACGGGUGCAUUAUCGACCGAUCCUGAAGUUUUCGGAUGGAUUUGAGUAGGAGCAUAAAUGUUCGGACCCGAAAGAUGGUGAACUAUGCGUGGAUAGGGUGAAGCCAGAGGAAACUCUGGUGGAGGCUCGCAGCGGUUCUGACGUGCAAAUCGAUCGUCAAAUCUGCGCAUGGGGGCGAAAGA
This 834-nucleotide ribosomal RNA is filed under the name Monochaetia ilexae. Its description in RNAcentral is "partial 28S ribosomal RNA". It matches the Rfam family "Eukaryotic large subunit ribosomal RNA", at positions 69 to 930 of the family's 3401-position model. The record is from RNAcentral. Lineage: Eukaryota; Fungi; Ascomycota; Sordariomycetes; Amphisphaeriales; Sporocadaceae.